GACUUCACCCUAAUCAUCUGUCCCACCUUAGACGGCUGACUCCCGUAAGGUUAUCUCACCGGCUUUGGGUGUUACAAACUCUCAUGGUGUGACGGGCGGUGUGUACAAGGCCCGGGAACGUAUUCACCGCGGUGCUGAUCCGCGAUUACUAAUUCCAUUCUGUUGCAAGUGAUCACAUCCACUGGAAGGCUUAGAGAUAACUUAGCCCACGACUUCGCUCUUGACCUGCUUGUAGCCCGAUGAGCCAAAUCGUACACAUGGAAUUGAUAACGGCCCAAACUCCUACGGGAGGCAGCAGUAGGGAAUCUUCCACAAUGGACGAAAGUCUGAUGGAGCAAUGCCGCGUGAGUGAAGAAGGGUUUCGGCUCGUAAAACUCUGUUGUUAAAGAAGAACACUCUUGAGAGUAACUGUUCAGGAGUUGACGGUAUUUAACCAGAAAGCCACGGCUAACUACGUGCCAGCAGCCGCGGUAAUACGUAGGUGGCAAGCGUGGUCGGGAUUUAAUGGCCGAAAGCGAGCGCGGGUUUUCUUAACUGAUGUGAAAGCCUUCGCCUUACCGGAGAAUGCACGGAAACUGGGAGAUUGAGUGCAGAGAGGACAGGGAACUCCAUGU
This 614-nucleotide ribosomal RNA is filed under the name Levilactobacillus brevis. RNAcentral's name for it is "bacterial SSU rRNA". It matches the Rfam family "Bacterial small subunit ribosomal RNA", at positions 1 to 674 of the family's 1533-position model. The record is from RNAcentral. Lineage: Bacteria; Bacillati; Bacillota; Bacilli; Lactobacillales; Lactobacillaceae.